GAUGAAGAACGUAGCGAAAUGCGAUACUUGGUGUGAAUUGCAGAAUCCCGUGAACCAUCGAGUCUUUGAACGCAAGUUGCGCCCGAAGCCAUUAGGCCGAGGGCACGCCUGCCUGGGCGUCACACGUCGUUGCCCCCCCAUCUACUCCUUCGGGAUUGCGGGGGGCGGAUGAUGGCCUCCCGUGCGCCUCGUCGCGCGGUUGGCAUAAAUGCCAAGUCCUCGGCGACGCACGCCACGACAAUCGGUGGUUGCGAAACCUCGGUUGCCCGUCGUGUGCGGUCGUCGCGCAUCGAGGGCUCGAAAAAAUUGUCGUGCUCCGGCUCGGCUUUCAACGCGACCCCAGGUCAGGCGGGGUUACCCGCUGAAUUUAAGCAUAUCAAUAAGCGGAGGA
RNAcentral lists this unclassified non-coding RNA (391 nucleotides) under soil metagenome. RNAcentral describes it as "partial contains 5.8S ribosomal RNA, internal transcribed spacer 2, and large subunit ribosomal RNA". The stretch from base 1 to 122 matches the Rfam family "5.8S ribosomal RNA", at positions 35 to 154 of the family's 154-position model. The record is from RNAcentral.